CGUAAACAAAGGGAAGCGAACACGCGAGUGGGAGCGAAUCCCAAAAAUAACGUCCCAGUUCGGAUUGUAGUCUGCAACCCGACUACAUGAAGCCGGAAUCGCUAGUAAUCGCGGAUCAGCAUGCCGCGGUGAAUACGUUCCCGGGUCUUGUACACACCGCCCGUCACACCAUGGGAGUCGGAAAUGCCCGAAGUCAGUGACCCAACCGUAAGGAGGGAGCUGCCGAAGGUGGAGCCGGUAACUGGGGUGAAGUCGUAACAAGGUAGC
RNAcentral lists this ribosomal RNA (267 nucleotides) under uncultured bacterium. RNAcentral describes it as "partial 16S ribosomal RNA". It matches the Rfam family "Bacterial small subunit ribosomal RNA", at positions 1234 to 1500 of the family's 1533-position model. The record is from RNAcentral.